UUUGUCACCUUUUCAACACAUAUCUGGUGCACUAGUGCUUCUUUCAAAAAUAUCUCAGUAUUCGAUAAAUACAAAAUUUUUUCUCAAAUCCUAGUCGUACAAAGUGCAUUUAAUGGAAAAGACAAAUCACAAUAGACUAUAACUAACAUUCCCACUCUAUUUAAAUCAACUCCAUUCCUUUCAUUUCCAACUCAUCCACUCCUUUGCAAAACCUAAUCUACUGCACUUUCUCUCACUCUCGUUUCCAUUGUCUCAAAUGCUCUUUGUAAUAUUCAUUGAGUUCUCAUACUCUCAAUCAUCCAAACCAAUGAAACCACCACCCAAACCUCCAAAUCAUCGUCAUCAUCAUCAUCUUAUCCUAUCAUUGAACCAAGAUGGAUAUAAUAAUCAAACACUUUUUUCUUUCUGCAUAUUGAAAACUUACUUGCUUUAUGCAAGUAGUUCUCCCACCUAACCUACACCUUUCAAAAUCAUCGGACCUUACCUUACCCUAUCACCAUUUUUCUUCCCACUUCCUUGACCUCUUCUCUCUUCUUUUUUAGCAUCUUUCACUUACACCAUCUCUGUCGCGGUGAUAUUCUCUCUCAUUCUCCUUUCAUCCCUUUUCAUGUUUAUCAAAUAAGGGGGAGAUACACUACACAAUAGGAUAGAAUAGGAUAUCAUAGAAUUAGGAUGAGUCUCUAGAUUGUUAGAAGUUCAUGCAUAACAUUCUACACAUUCUUGUUAAUGCAACAUGUUUAUGUUUAUGUGUUUAAAUAAUAUCAGUCUUUUACAUAUGUUGUGCUCUGAUUAUUUAUCAUGCUUUGAUUAUUUGUUACCAUUGUCUUGAAAACUAACUCACAUCCAUAUAAGAUAAACCAAUAAUAAAAAAUUAUUUAUCAUGCACUAAUAAUAUCGUUCGGUCUCUAACAUAUCUCACUGUUAGAGACCGUUCGGCUUGUUCUUGUUCGGUUGUUUUUCUUUCUAAUGUGUUGUAGUUUCUGCAUUUUGAUCUAGUUAGCAAGUUGGUGUAAUAUCAUUCGGUUCCUAACACACUUCGUUGUUAGGAUCGUUCGGCUUCACUGUUAUGUACCGUUCGGUUUCCAACUCUUCGUCCCUACCUUUCUUUCCCUCCC
RNAcentral lists this long non-coding RNA (1115 nucleotides) under Vigna radiata. RNAcentral's name for it is "long non-coding RNA (VRAD_LNC004068)". Lineage: Eukaryota; Viridiplantae; Streptophyta; Magnoliopsida; Fabales; Fabaceae. The record is from RNAcentral.